This 253-nucleotide ribosomal RNA is filed under the name uncultured bacterium. Its description in RNAcentral is "partial 16S ribosomal RNA". It matches the Rfam family "Bacterial small subunit ribosomal RNA", at positions 524 to 776 of the family's 1533-position model. The record is from RNAcentral.
UACGUAGGGUGCGAGCGUUAAUCGGAAUUCCUGGGCGUAAAGCGUGCGCAGGCGGCUUCGCAAGUCAGGCGUGAAAUCCCCGGGCUUAACCUGGGAAUUGCGCUUGAAACUACGGUGCUGGAGUGCGGCAGAGGAAGGUGGAAUUCCACGUGUAGCGGUGAAAUGCGUAGAGAUGUGGAGGAACACCAAUGGCGAAGGCAGCCUUCUGGGUCGACACUGACGCUCAUGCACGAAAGCGUGGGGAGCAAACAGG